AUUGAACGCUGGCGGCAGGCCUAACACAUGCAAGUCGAGCGGAGCGGCGGACGGGGGAGUAUUGCCUAGGAAUCUGCCUGGCAGUGGGGGAUAACGUCCGGAAAAGGGCGCGAAUACCGCAUACUAUCAGAUGAGCCUAGGUCGGAUUAGCUAGGUGGUGGGGUAAAGGCCUACCAAGGCGACGAUCCGUAACUGGUCUGGGAGGGUGAUCAGUCAACCUGGAACUGAGACACGGUCCAGACUCCUACGGGAGGCAGCAGUGGGGAAUAUUGGACAAUGGGCGAAAGCCUGAUCCAGCCAUGCCGCGUGUGUGAAGAAGGUCUUCGGAUUGUAAAGCACUUUAAGUUGGGAGGCGUUACCAAGAGAAUAAGCACCGGCUAACUUCGUGCCAGCAGCCGCGGUAAUAC
Molecule: ribosomal RNA, 407 nt
Filed under: uncultured bacterium
Lineage: Bacteria
Description: partial 16S ribosomal RNA
Rfam family: Bacterial small subunit ribosomal RNA
Source: RNAcentral